GCUUGACAGAAAAAGCGGUUAUUUACUGAUUUGUAAUCAGUAGGUCCGCGGUUCGAGUCCGUGUGGGGGCACCA
Molecule: transfer RNA, 74 nt
Filed under: Aestuarium zhoushanense
Lineage: Bacteria; Pseudomonadati; Pseudomonadota; Alphaproteobacteria; Rhodobacterales; Paracoccaceae
Description: tRNA-Thr
Source: RNAcentral